Molecule: RNA transcript, 2171 nt
Organism: Oncorhynchus masou masou (cherry salmon)
Lineage: Eukaryota; Metazoa; Chordata; Actinopteri; Salmoniformes; Salmonidae
Gene: mtg1
Gene name: mitochondrial ribosome-associated GTPase 1
Exons: 12
Source: RefSeq, a predicted model, not a curated record
UGUAAACAGUGUAACACCAAUGUGAACAUGGCUUCAGUAAAAUCUUGUCAAUGACAGAGGACUUCAAGACCAACGAUUUACAUAUACACAUCAUUGCUUCAGAUACGUGAAAGAAACUAAUAUUUCGUUUUUUUUAAACAACAAAUAUGAGGCUUCAUCAGAUACUCCGCAAUGGAGCAAACUUCAGGACGGUCUUUGACUUCGGCGUCAGAGAGGUUGCCCACUGGUUCCCCAGACAUAUGGCAAAAGGUCUGAAACAGAUGAAGGCCAGUGUGAAGAAUGUUGACUGCAUCCUAGAAAUCCACGAUGCCAGAAUCCCGUUCUCGGGUAGAAACCCUCUUUUCCAGGAUAGUCUGGACGUCAGACCUCAUCUCCUGGUGCUGAACAAGAUGGACCUGGCUGACCUGUCUGCCAAGCAUAUGAUUUUGAAACAGCUUGAAAGACAUGGAGUGAAGAAGGUCCUGUUCACAGACUGCCUCAGACAGAGAGAUGACAACGUCAAAAAGCUGGUUCCCAUGGUCACAGAAUUAAUCGAGAGCCAGCCACGCUUCCACCGAGAGGAGAACACCAACUUCUGUCUGAUGGUGAUUGGGGUGCCCAACGUUGGAAAGUCAUCACUCAUCAAUGCUCUGAGGAGAACCAACCUCAAGAAAGGUCGGGGGUCAAAAGUAGGAGGGGAACCAGGCAUUACCAAAGCAGUGUUGACUAGAAUACAGGUGUGUGAGAGACCCAUCAUCCAUCUUCUAGAUACGCCUGGUGUCCUUCCUCCGAAGAUACAGAGUCUGGAGACAGGCAUGAAGCUAGCCCUAUGUGGAACCAUCCUGGACCAUCUAGUAGGAGAAGACAUCAUGGCAGACUACCUACUGUUCUCUCUCAAUAGACUGGAGAAGUACAGUUACGUGGAGAGGUAUGAUCUCAGUGAGCCUAGUGAUGACAUCCAGCAGGUGUUGAAACGUAUCGCUGUCAAACUGGGAAAGACUCAACGGGUUAAAGCCAUCACUGGAGUAACAUCACCCUCACAGUGCCUAACUACACAGCAGCAGCCUAUGAUUUCAUCAGAGCGUUCAGGAAGGGAGAGCUGGGACAGGUCAUGCUGGACUGACCACUACCACACCACAGACUGACUACAACACAGACUGAUCACUCUCUCACCAGAGACCUUGUAGGAAACUCAAGAGUGCAGAUGGCAGAGAGGUUGGCAGGGGGUCCAGACUGCUGCAGGGUACACGCUCACCUUCCAGACAGUAGCAGCAUCCAGCGGCUGGAACGAGCGGGCGCUUCGUACGCUAUUCAGAAGAGGACUGUGCGAGGAGGUCCAGAUGGAACUGGCCUGUCGAGACAACAACCUCUCCUUGCACGCACUCAUUGCAAUGGCCAUCUGUCACAAUAACCUACUUCGGGAGCGUUUGGUACUCUCAUCUCUUUCAUUAAGGGUGGUCCCCGUAGGUUGGUGUGGAGCCCAACAUGAACAUCCCACUCUGCAAGAAACCGAGCCCCCGGUUUGUGAGGCCGUUCAAGGUCCUCCGGAGGGUCAACGAGGUAACGUAUAGAUUACAGCUUCCCAGUGACUACCAUACCAUAUCUUUUCAUGUCUCCCUUCUCAGGCCGGUGGUUCCUGAUCUCCUAGCUGAUGCUGUCCCCAACGACACCCCUCCACCCCCCCUGGACAUCAACGGGAGUCCGGCCUAUGCCAUCAAAUCCCAACUGGACUACUGACGUCGUGGGGGUCGGCUCCAGUACCUGGUGGACUGGGAGGUGUAUUGCCCAGAGGAGCGGUGUUGGGUUCCGGUGGAGGACAUUCUGGAUCCCAACAUCAUCUGUGAUUUCCACCUUCACAGCCUGGACCGGCCCGCUCCUCGUCCUCAGGUCUUCCGUCUGGUUGGCGUCGUCCUGCGGCUGGAGCCGCGCAUCAGAGGGGCAGUACUGUCAUGUCUACUCCCGCUCCUCCCCUCCGGCGUUCGGUGUCGCCGGUAUACUAACCACCGGUCCUAGGAUCCAUCAUUACGCAAACCUGCACAUCAUCAUGAGGCACACCUGGAUUCUAUUACCUCCCCUAUAUCUGGUACUCCCUUAGGUUCCUUUCCCAGUCAGUAUUUAUCCUGUGUUUAUGCAUAGACCCUACUGUUAUCUCAUUCCAUGUUUGUUUUAUUAAACGUUUCACCUGCACUUAC